RNAcentral lists this transfer RNA (86 nucleotides) under Caudoviricetes sp. Its description in RNAcentral is "tRNA-Leu". It matches the Rfam family "tRNA". From Rfam's summary of the family: Transfer RNA (tRNA) molecules are approximately 80 nucleotides in length. The record is from RNAcentral. Lineage: Duplodnaviria; Heunggongvirae; Uroviricota; Caudoviricetes.
GCCACAAUGUUGGAACUGGUAGACGAGGCAGAUUCAAAAUCUGUUGCCAAAAUGGCGUCCGGGUUCGAGUCCCGGUUGUGGCACCA